GGAGAGGUGGCCGAGUGGUCGAAGGCGCUCCCCUGCUAAGGGAGUAGGGCGGUAACGCUCUCGUGGGUUCGAAUCCCAUCCUCUCCGCCA
RNAcentral lists this transfer RNA (90 nucleotides) under Aliihoeflea sp. 40Bstr573. Its description in RNAcentral is "tRNA-Ser". It matches the Rfam family "tRNA". From Rfam's summary of the family: Transfer RNA (tRNA) molecules are approximately 80 nucleotides in length. Their secondary structure includes four short double-helical elements and three loops (D, anti-codon, and T loops). Further hydrogen bonds mediate the characteristic L-shaped molecular structure. tRNAs have two regions of fundamental functional importance: the anti-codon, which is responsible for specific mRNA codon recognition, and the 3' end, to which the tRNAs corresponding amino acid is attached (by aminoacyl-tRNA synthetases). tRNAs cope with the degeneracy of the genetic code in two manners: having more than one tRNA (with a specific anti-codon) for a particular amino acid; and 'wobble' base-pairing, i.e. permitting non-standard base-pairing at the 3rd anti-codon position. The record is from RNAcentral. Lineage: Bacteria; Pseudomonadati; Pseudomonadota; Alphaproteobacteria; Hyphomicrobiales; Phyllobacteriaceae.